RNAcentral lists this ribosomal RNA (20 nucleotides) under Corollospora maritima. RNAcentral describes it as "partial 28S ribosomal RNA". The record is from RNAcentral. Lineage: Eukaryota; Fungi; Ascomycota; Sordariomycetes; Microascales; Halosphaeriaceae.
GAACAGUCGACCUCGAAUCA